GUCGGGCGCGGUGGCGCGUGCCUGUAAUCCCAGCUACUUGGGAAGCUGAGGCAGGAGAAUUGCUGGAACCCGGGAGGCGGAGGUCGCAGUGAGCCAAGAUGGCGCCACUGCACUCCAGCCUGGGUGACAGAGCAAGACUCUGUCUCAA
This is a non-coding RNA of Homo sapiens (human), 148 nucleotides long. It matches the Rfam family "Metazoan signal recognition particle RNA". From Rfam's summary of the family: The signal recognition particle (SRP) is a universally conserved ribonucleoprotein. It is involved in the co-translational targeting of proteins to membranes. Lineage: Eukaryota; Metazoa; Chordata; Mammalia; Primates; Hominidae. The record is from Rfam.